RNAcentral lists this unclassified non-coding RNA (367 nucleotides) under uncultured fungus. RNAcentral describes it as "partial contains 5.8S ribosomal RNA and internal transcribed spacer 2". The stretch from base 1 to 133 matches the Rfam family "5.8S ribosomal RNA", at positions 22 to 154 of the family's 154-position model. Lineage: Eukaryota; Fungi. The record is from RNAcentral.
UGGCUCUCGCACCGAUGAAGAACGCAGCGAAAUGCGAUAAGUAAUGUGAAUUGCAGAAUUCAGUGAAUCAUCGAAUCUUUGAACGCACCUUGCACCCUUUGGUAUUCCGAAGGGUACGCCCGUUUGAGUGUCAUUGUAAUCUCACCUCUACAACUUUGUUGCGUGAAGUGGACUUGGACAAUGUUGUGUGAAAACGACUGGUCCUAAAACUAUGAGUGUACCCUGCUGUUGCAGCGUCUUCAGUGUGAUAACAUCUUCACUGAUCAAAGUUCCUUUGGGACACGCAAGCAUUGUGGGCUCUGCGCUUCGAACCGUCUCUGGACAUACUUGACAAUUUGACCUCAAAUCGGGCGGGACUACCCGCUGA